ACGAACGCUGGCGGCGUGCCUAAUACAUGCAAGUAGAACGCUGAAGGAGGAGCUUGCUUCUCUGGAUGAGUUGCGAACGGGUGAGUAACGCGUAGGUAACCUGCCUGGUAGCGGGGGAUAACUAUUGGAAACGAUAGCUAAUACCGCAUAAUAGCAGUUAUUGCAUGAUAACUGUUUGAAAGGUGCAAUUGCACCACUACCAGAUGGACCUGCGUUGUAUUAGCUAGUUGGUGGGGUAACGGCUCACCAAGGCGACGAUACAUAGCCGACCUGAGAGGGUGAUCGGCCACACUGGGACUGAGACACGGCCCAGACCCCUACGGGAGGCAGCAGUAGGGAAUCUUCGGCAAUGGACGGAAGUCUGACCGAGCAACGCCGCGUGAGUGAAGAAGGUUUUCGGAUCGUAAAGCUCUGUUGUAAGAGAAGAACGAGUGUGAGAGUGGAAAGUUCACACUGUGACGGUAUCUUACCAGAAAGGGACGGCUAACUACGUG
Molecule: ribosomal RNA, 494 nt
Filed under: uncultured bacterium
Lineage: Bacteria
Description: partial 16S ribosomal RNA
Rfam family: Bacterial small subunit ribosomal RNA
Source: RNAcentral